AAUAGGUAUGCUUAGGGAGGAGCUUGCGUCACAUUAGUUAGUUGGUGGGGUAAAGGCCUACCAAGACUAUGAUGUGUAGCCGGGCUGAGAGGUUGAACGGCCACAUUGGGACUGAGACACGGCCCAAACUCCUACGGGAGGCAGCAGUAGGGAAUUUUCGGCAAUGGAGGAAACUCUGACCGAGCAACGCCGCGUGAACGAUGAAGUAUUUCGGUACGUAAAGUUCUUUUAUUAGGGAAGAAUAAAUGAUGGAAAAAUCAUUCUGACGGUACCUAAUGAAUAAGCCCCGGCUAACUAUGUGCCAGCAGCCGCGGUAAUACAUAGGGGGCAAGCGUUAUCCGGAAUUAUUGGGCGUAAAGGGUGCGUAGGCGGUUAAAUAAGUUUAUGGUCUAAGUGCAAUGCUCAACAUUGUGAUGCUAUAAAAACUGUUUAGCUAGAGUAAGAUAGAGGCAAGUGGAAUUCCAUGUGUAGUGGUAAAAUGCGUAAAUAUAUGGAGGAACACCAGUAGCGAAGGCGGCUUGCUGGGUCUUUACUGACGCUGAGGCACGAAAGCGUGGGGAGCAAACAGGAUUAGAUACCCUGGUAGUCCACGCCGUAAACGAUGAGUACUAAACGUUGGGUAAAACCAGUGUUGAAGUUAACACAUUAAGUACUCCGCCUGAGUAGUACGUACGCAAGUAUGAAACUUAAAGGAAUUGACGGGACUCCGCACAAGCGGUGGAUCAUGUUGUUUAAUUCGAAGGUACCCGAAAAACCUCACCAGGUCUUGACAUGCUUCUGCAAAGCUGUAGAAACACAGUGGAGGUUAUCAGUUGCACAGGUGGUGCAUGGUUGUCGUCAGCUCGUGUCGUGAGAUGUUGGGUUAAGUCCCGCAACGAGCGCAACCCUUAUUGUUAGUUACCAGCACGUAAUGGUGGGGACUUUAGCAAGACUGCCAGUGAUAAAUUGGAGGAAGGUGGGGACGACGUCAAAUCAUCAUGCCCCUUAUGACCUGGGCUACAAACGUGAUACAAUGGCUGUUACAAAGGGUAGCUGAAGCGCAAGUUUUUGGCGAAUCUCAAAAAAACAGUCUCAGUUCGGAUUGAAGUCUGCAACUCGACUUCAUGAAGUUGGAAUCGCUAGUAAUCGCG
RNAcentral lists this ribosomal RNA (1130 nucleotides) under 'Macrosteles quadrilineatus' phytoplasma. Its description in RNAcentral is "bacterial SSU rRNA". It matches the Rfam family "Bacterial small subunit ribosomal RNA", at positions 208 to 1346 of the family's 1533-position model. Lineage: Bacteria; Bacillati; Mycoplasmatota; Mollicutes; Acholeplasmatales; Acholeplasmataceae. The record is from RNAcentral.